This 360-nucleotide ribosomal RNA is filed under the name Triticum aestivum (bread wheat). RNAcentral's name for it is "partial small subunit ribosomal RNA". The record is from RNAcentral. Lineage: Eukaryota; Viridiplantae; Streptophyta; Magnoliopsida; Poales; Poaceae.
AUGGCAUUGCUUCGUGAUCUAUGGAUGCCCAAAAGUCGGUGCUAUAUCAUAGGACCGGCUUGGCCAACUAUUGAGGCAGAGAACUUCGAGCUGAAACCUAGUCUUAUUGCUUUGGUUCAACAACAACAGUUUGGAGUACUGCCUACUAAAGACCCUUAUGUGCACUUGCUCCGUGUCAUGGAGUAUUCAGAUACAGUAAAGUAUCAAGGAGUUCCUCAAGAUGUUAUCAAGUGCAUGCUGUUCACAUUCUCUCUCCGAGAUGAUGCUCGUGCUUGGUAUCGAUCCUUGCCAUCAAGAUCAUUUGGUUGGAAUGAGAUAUCACGAGCUUUCUUGGAUAAAUAUUUCCCAUUACACAAGUAG